GAAAAUCCCAGCAUGACCAAAAUAAAAAAACUGAACAUUUAAUUUAAUGAGUUAUGUAACAUGGUGCAUCAAUUGGGCAAACUUCCACUUAUGCACUAGCAGACAAAACAAGGGGCGGAUGGCUGGGAUUGUGUGGGCGCGCGCGGGUUCGUACCGUGUCUAAUGCGGACGUGUGUUAAUUUCCAUGCAAAUGAAAAAGAAAGCCAUGAUGGCAUACGUGUGAAACGCAGUUUUUUUUUUAAACUUCCAAC
This 251-nucleotide long non-coding RNA is filed under the name Lathyrus oleraceus (garden pea). Its description in RNAcentral is "Pisum sativum (pea) long non-coding RNA (PSAT_LNC033021)". The record is from RNAcentral. Lineage: Eukaryota; Viridiplantae; Streptophyta; Magnoliopsida; Fabales; Fabaceae.